GUCUCCCUAGUUGCCUGUCAACUGGAUGGUGUUUGCCCAACUGAUGUACAACAUAGUUGCCCAAUAAUUGUCUCACUAGUUUCCUGUUAACUAGAUGGUGUUUGCCCAACUGAUGUACUUCACAGUUUGCGUAACUGUUUGUCUCCCUAGUUGCUUGUCAACUCAAUGAUGUUUGCCCAACCGAUACACAGCAAUUUUGGAUGUGUAUUUUUCAAGGGGAAAGAACAAAUAGUCAUACCUGGUGGACAACAAUUUUGUGCAUAUGACUAUUUUUUGAGUCCAUUAUACAGCUUCGCGACAAUGGUCACCCCUGAUAUAGCCUUGCUGAGUAUGUUCUUCUCCAUAUACACAUGUUUGAUAAAAAAAAUCGCCUAAUAGUUGUCUAUUAGUUGCCUUUUUAUUUUUGCAUGGUGUUUGCCUAACUAGAAGGUCACCAACCUGCAUGUGUUUUUCUUGUCACACAUUGUAUAAUAGAUGUCCUUAAUAGAUUUUGCCUGUUUUUUUCAUUGUUUUUGGUUAAUGUAGAGGAUGCACUUGCCUGUGCAUUAGUUUAACUGCUCACAUGUGUCCUUGUGCAUUAGUUGAAGUGGAAUUAGCUUUGUAGAUACUUUUUUGUGUAUGAUAGUUCAAGUGGAAGCAGCUGCUCAUUUUCUGAUUAGUUAACUGUUCAAACUCACGUGUUUAUGUAUAUGUAUUUUUUGCCCAUGGUUUUUAAUAAUGACUUUUUUCUGGCAUAUACCAGGAACAAUGGAUGGCAGCAGUAAGGAAAUGCAGGAAGACCGCCUUCCAGUCAACCCUGAUGCCGAUCCUUCUAAUGUUACUGCAGAUAAUGAAACAGAGGCUCGUAGUACUGCCCCCACAACCACAAUUGGGUACAAGCGUCGAAGAAUGUCAAAAGCGAUCAUUGCUCGUGGCCCCCCGUCCAUCAGAUAUUGAUAGCAACGAGGAUGUAUCUAGAGAUGCUGACAAGGACCCUGAAUUUGACAAAGAUAACGAGCGUGAACCUGACAAAGAUAUUGAGGAUCAUCCAAGAAAAGCAAAGCGCCAAAAGUCUUCAGGAAAUGAGGGUUUUAGGAAUAGAGGAUCGCCUGCAAGGCUGUAUAAACUAAACAAAUCUCUUAUAUCUGACCAAAAGGGUGUCAUCAUUGACAAAGAGUUCGGGGGUUUGUUGGACCUCGCAUCCACUACAAUGGAUGCAGAUCUCAGCCAAUGGAUUAUGAAGCACUACGACCCCGAAAAGUCCCAAAUUGUUAUACCAGAGAGGGGGGAGAUCCUGGUAGAUGCAACGAGCUUUCAUAGAAUAUGGGGGUUGCCAAACAGGGGCAGAAAGGUCUGUUUGGAGAAUCGUCCUGACAUCACAAAGGCCAUUUAUAGCAUCUAGAACAUUACAUCCAAGAAAACUCACCAGCCCUCACAGCAUGGUGUAAGAUGAUUGUAGAUAUGCGCGAAGCUCAUGACGACAAUUUCCUCCGUGCUUGGCUAGCAGUCGCUUUUUCUUGCUUUCUUGCACCAUCAAGAAGUCUAAACAUCUCUCCAAAAAGCUUCCCUGCUGUUAUGGAUGUCAAUGGUAUAACAGAGACAAAUGUUUGUAAGUUUGUUGUUGAUCAGUUAAAGGUAGUGUUCACAGUAGCAGUUCUCAAGAAGAAUGUUGUAUGCUGUUGUGUUAUCCAUCUUGUACUGUUGUAUCUGGACUCACUUGAUGUGGAUGAACCUAUCCCAAGCUUGACACCAAGAGUUUCUGUUUGGAACUCAGAUUUAAUCGCAAAAGUCGUGAAGAAGGAUAAGAAGGGCCCGGGUCAAUACGGAAAACUACGUCUUAAGACCGAGUUUUCCCGAUGUGCGGACGAUAGUUUGUUCGGAAGCAUGGAUCACAUCACAAAAUUUGUUGCAGCAAGAUUACCCGAGUCAUAUAAUAAAGAAAAGCAAAAGAAGGUAUCAAUCAUGGUACAUGAAAUGUGUUCCAAAAUAUCGCACUCAGUUGGAAAGCUUGUGUACAAUAUUGGCAGGAUCGAUGAUAUUGAAGCUGGGACAAGCACGACAGAACCUAGUAAGAUGGGAACAAGCAGGCAACGUUCAAAGAAAAGAAGUAAACAAUUGGGCAGUGACAGCGAAAGCUUAUUAAGUGAAGAAGGCAGCGACAACUUACCUAGUGAAGAAGAGUCAUACAUGUCGGACAUCGAUGAUAAUGACAAAGAUGGAGAUGAAUCUGAUGAAGCACAUGAUGAUGAUGGAGAAAAGAGCGACAACGGCAGAGAUGGGGACUUGGACGACGAUGAUGGUGAUGAAUUGAGGAGGGAAGAUGCUGGGCAUAACCCUAACGAGCUGGAAGAACAAGGUGAGAGGGAGGAAGCACGUAUUGCUGAAAUGGAACAAGAGGAUCAAGCAACCCGUGAUGGCAGCGCUAGCAAGGAUGGGGAAACAUAACCAGUUGACACAGUGACAAGUACAGUAGUGGGCAAAGCACAGCAAACAGUCGAGCAAGAGGGAGAUGUCGAGGAUGAAGAGAAAGAUAGCGAUGAAAAUGAAGAAGAUGAAGUUAGUACAUAAGAUGAUGAGGAUGAAGAAGAAGAAGAUGAUGAUGUGGAAAAAGGCGGUGACAAGGAAGAAGACAAGGAUGGGGAUGGGAAGGGGGAUGGAAAGGAUGAUGAGGAUAGGAGUGGAGGUAAUAGCAGUGGCCACGUCGAUGGUGGUGGGAACAGCAGGAAUGAGGAUGGAGCUGCUGGUUACUUGGACAGUGAUGACGAUGAAGAGUGUACACUGCAGUUUUUGGUUCAAAAGAAGGACAGUAAACCUAAGGAGCUUGAUGAAUUUGGCUCGGUUAAUAUCAGAGACAUAGUGAUGAUGGAGCGGGAACAUUUUUCCCCACGCAUACCAUUGUAUGAAGCAAAAGAAUGCACUGAUGAGGCACCAGCUACAUGGGAAACAAAGAGGGUUUUCAGAAGCUAUUGAUGGGAUUAGAGUUGAAGGAAUUCCCCCCAAUGGACGUGACGGAAAUAUGUCCAAAACACAUGCGCAAGAGGCUGAUGAAAGAAAUGGGUGCAGAACAUAACUUGGGUGGAAAACCAGAAGAAAUUGCAGAGAGGGAACUACCACCCAUCCCACCGAAGAAGAAAAAGACUGUCAGCUUCAUCUUGCAGCCAACAGUAGUGACAACAACAGCAGAGGAGCUACAUGAAAGGCGUUCAAAAAAUGCACAGCAAGUGCAGGUUCCCAAGGAAAGGCAGUCAGCUAUUAAGAAAUCUGGGCAAAUACAACAUCAAAACCAGGCAACUGCUGUACAGAAACAGGCAACUUGUGCUUUUUUGAAGCCCCAGGUGGAAGUAAAUAAAAUAUCAAGCACUACAAGAGCACCAAAAGGAUUCCAAGGUGACAAUGUUACAUCAACUUUCACACAAAGUCUGGCAACUCAGCCCAAGGAGGAAGCAAGUUGCAAAAACUCAGUGCAAAUCUUUCAAUGGGGAACCUAGGCUCCAUCAAACAAGCACUAGUUAGAGUUUCACCACAAACAGGAGCGAACACAGCUAUUCAAAGUUGUAGGCAACCUCUGGUUGAGCUAAAUUGUCAAGCACAAAAGCUCCCUUGCAUUAGUGCGCCGCAAUCGACAAAUGUCCCCAAUGUUGCCAAAGAGCGUAAGAUGAAAGGAGUAGCACAGGGUCCAUUAUUAGAUGCAGGUCUGGGCAAGGAUCAAGAAAACAUUUGCCCCUUGACAUCCACCGCUGUUACAGGUGACACAACUUGCUUUGAUCAUCACUCAUCAAAGUUACCUGAAUCACUGAGCAAGUUGCCUGCAAAGCCAACUUCAAUUGCCCAGAGUGCCCAAACAGUGAGUCCCAAGGAAAAAAACCAUUUUUUGUGAUGGUAACAAAGAAAACCGUCCGCCACUGCAAUUCAAGGGGAGCACAAAGAAUAACCUAGAAAUAAAUGUUCUGGAAAUCAGUGAUCUCAUAGCAAGAUUUGCCCCUCCAAGUAAAAAACCUGUUGAAAGCUCAAGCAGCAUGUCACCCAUUUUCAUUCAAGCACAGAUGGAUCGACCACAGAUUCACCAAAGCAAAAGCGCAUCAUCAAGCAGUUAUGUUGAUGAGUAUUGCCCGGCCCCAUCUUUCUCAAUUGGCUUAGAUGAAAUUUUCAAUCCGAAAACUACAGUUGAGGGUGCGCAGGGAGGUGAUGGGCCAAGCAGUAUCGCAGCACGUGAGUACAUACAAAUUCUCGACGACAGUGAUGAUUUGGAAUUUGUAGCCGGUAAUGAAGCAUGUGAAGUGUUCACACUAGAAAAAACUUCUAACCAAGGAGAAGAAGGAUCAGGUAGCAAGUUUUAUAGCAGCAACAGCUCUGGAGAGCCUGUCCUAAAUAAAUUUGAAAGAAGGAUAAUCAAGCCAACUCCUUGCAUGAGGUCACCAUUCAUACACUACAACGAGAAAAAUUCAUUUAAAUGCAGAGCUGAUGUCAACCGGUUGUAUGCAUCGGCUAUUUUGCAUGGGAGGUUAAAUGAAGAAGAGUCACCUGAUGUAGAUACCAGCCUAAAGGUAAUUGACUAUGGCAAGUACUUUGUAACUGUGAGGGAGUUUGCUAACGCAAUGAAAAUGGAAGGGUUCCUGUUGUCCCAUGUAGUUGAAAUUUGGAUAUAGUCCAUCAUGAUGAACUUGCCACCAGAUUCAAUGAAGGUGGUGAUGCCCUUGAGAUUCUCGAUAAUGUUGCAGCAUAUGUCAUUAGAUGACCAAGAGCUUGCUUCAAGAUUCAACAAAUCCAACCGGCUGGAUCGUAAAGAUAUGGUUUGACUGUGGGGUUUUCGUGCUUACACUCACAAGUGGUUGGGAGGCAAGGACUGUUCCAAGAUUCACCCAUAAUGACAUUCCAAACAUCAGGAAGCAACUAACAAGCAAUUGGGUCAACACCGAUUACAACAAGGCCCCUUGGAAAGACAUCUUGAAUCUGCACUAGAUACAACUGAUUUUCAUGCGUUUCCAAGGCCGAGCGAACCAAGCUUUUUUCAUGGGAACAGGAUGCCUUCUAUUUUCGAAGUGUUUUUAGCAUCGAGAGGAAAAGCUAAUAUUAGAGACUUUCGAGAGUAGCAUUUUAUGCGUCUCAAAAAUUUUAUAUACCAGUACUAAAAACUAGCUGGGUGUGACAUUUUCUUCAUGUUCAGUACUUUGUUAGUAUGCAAUUCGUACCAGCAACUUCAGGACCAUGUUGUGUUUGUGGCCUCUUUUUUCAUUUUUGCUUGUUGAACUAUCUUAACGCGUUGGAGCCCCCAAGGGUUCAUGUGUUUUUCUUGUGUUUCUUCUGUGGAUGAACCCUUCUUUGCAGGAGCAACCUAAUUUUCUUGCCGGGAAGUACAAUUGAUAGGAAACAAUGUUCAGUCAAUCCCCCAAGGUAAUGUUUAGUCAAUUCCCCAAGGCAACCUUUUUUCCUUUUGAUUCUGAACACACAAGUUGCACAUAGUUUUUAAUCAGUACUUUUCAGCAUCUACCAUGAUUUCUCUUUAUUUUGCACCAAAUUUUACCAGUUUU
Non-coding RNA from Aegilops tauschii subsp. strangulata, 5507 nucleotides. NCBI's taxonomy places the organism in Eukaryota, Viridiplantae, Streptophyta, Magnoliopsida, Poales, Poaceae. The record is from RefSeq and is a predicted model, not a curated record.